UACGUAGGGGGCUAGCGUUGUCCGGAAUCAUUGGGCGUAAAGCGCGUGUAGGCGGUUCGGUAAGUCCGCUGUGAAAGUCGGGGGCUCAACCCUCGGAUGCCGGUGGAUACUGUCGGGCUUGAGUACGGAAGAGGCGAGUGGAAUUCCUGGUGUAGCGGUGAAAUGCGCAGAUAUCAGGAGGAACACCAAUUGCGAAGGCAGCUCGCUGGGACGUUACUGACGCUGAGACGCGAAAGCGUGGGGAACAAACAGG
This 253-nucleotide ribosomal RNA is filed under the name uncultured bacterium. Its description in RNAcentral is "partial 16S ribosomal RNA". It matches the Rfam family "Bacterial small subunit ribosomal RNA", at positions 524 to 776 of the family's 1533-position model. The record is from RNAcentral.